This 117-nucleotide ribosomal RNA is filed under the name Candidatus Zixiibacteriota bacterium. Lineage: Bacteria; Pseudomonadati; Candidatus Zixiibacteriota. The record is from RNAcentral.
UCCGGUGGCAAUGGUGGAGGGGCCACACCUGUUCCCAUUUCGAACACAGUAGUUAAGCCCUCUAACGUCGAUGGUACUGCCUGGGCGAUCAGGUGGGAGAGUAGAAAGCUGCCGGGU